AUUGAACGCUGGCGGCAUGCUUUACACAUGCAAGUCGAACGGUAACAGGCCGCAAGGUGCUGACGAGUGGCGAACGGGUGAGUAAUGCAUCGGAACGUGCCCAGUCGUGGGGGAUAACGCAGCGAAAGCUGCGCUAAUACCGCAUACGAUCUCUGGAUGAAAGCGGGGGACCGAAAGGCCUCGCGCGAUUGGAGCGGCCGAUGUCAGAUUAGGUAGUUGGUGGGGUAAAGGCCCACCAAGCCAACGAUCUGUAGCUGGUCUGAGAGGACGACCGACCACGAGGGGACGGAGAGUGGGCCAAGCCUCCUAGGGGAGGGAGCGGUGGGGAAUUUGGGACAAUGGGGGCACGGUGGAUCCAGCAUUGCGGGGUGAAGGAAGAAGGCUUUGGGGUUGUAACCUGUUUUUGUAGGAAACGAAACGGUCCGGGCUAAUACCCGGGGCUAAUGACGGUACCGUAAGAAGAAGCACCGGCUAACUACGUGCCAGCCGCCGCGGUAA
Molecule: ribosomal RNA, 498 nt
Filed under: uncultured bacterium
Lineage: Bacteria
Description: partial 16S ribosomal RNA
Rfam family: Bacterial small subunit ribosomal RNA
Source: RNAcentral